CCUACGGGGGGCAGCAGUGGGGGAUAUUGCACAAUGGGGGAAACCCUGAUGCAGCGACGCCGCGUGGGUGAAGAAGUAUUUCGGUAUGUAAAGCCCUAUCAGCAGGGAAGAAAGAAGACGGUACCUGACUAAGAAGCCCCGGCUAACUACGUGCCAGCAGCCGCGGUAAUACGUAGGGGGCGAGCGUUAUCCGGAUUCACUGGGGGUAAAGGGAGCGUAGACGGCCGUGCAAGCCAGGAGUGAAAGCCCGGGGCCCAACCCCGGGACUGCUCUUGGAACUGUGCGGCUGGAGUGCGGGAGGGGCAGGCGGAAUUCCUGGUGUAGCGGUGAAAUGCGUAGAUAUCAGGAGGAACACCGGCGGCGAAGGCGGCCUGCUGGACCGCGACUGACGUUGAGGCUCGAAAGCGUGGGGAGCGAACAGGAUUAGAUACCCUUGUAGUC
This 441-nucleotide ribosomal RNA is filed under the name uncultured bacterium. Its description in RNAcentral is "partial 16S ribosomal RNA". It matches the Rfam family "Bacterial small subunit ribosomal RNA", at positions 338 to 795 of the family's 1533-position model. The record is from RNAcentral.